GCCAGAUCCGGGCACCACGCGAAGCCUCAUUUUCCCCGAAUCCCGUCGGCGGGGGACGGGAGUGGGGUAGUUGGGAGAGGGCGCCGGACUGAAAGUCCCACCCGGCGUGGGGGCUGGUGUGCAGAUCGCCGCGGGAGAGAAGCGGAGUGAAAGGGAAGCAAUGCAGAAGUCAGAGUGCCAUGGAGGCAUACAGUUGAGAAACAGAAAGGCAGGUAGCUGUGAUCAAAGGACAUCAUCAAGCAUACAGAUAAAACAUAGGACUACAAUUCAACAAAGCAACUCCUCAUCAUCAACCAGUUCUCCAGAGACUGCAAGAAAACUUCAUCCUCGACCAAGUGAUAAACUUAACCCUAAGACCAUUAACCCAUUUGGUGAACAGUCACGAGCUCCUUCCGCAUUUGCAGCCAUUUACUCUAAAGGAGGUAUUCCUUGCAGAUUGGUCCAUGGUUCAGUGAAACACAGAUUACAGUGGGAAUGUCCUCCUGAAAAUCUUCCAUUUGAUCCUCUUCUUAUUACUUUAGCUGAGGGUUUGAGAGAGACGAAACAUCCGUACACCUUUGUGUCAAAGGAGGGUUUUAGAGAAUUACUCUUGGUCCAAGGCGCUCCUGAGAAAGCUGUACCUUUGCUUCCGAGACUGAUUCCUGUGCUAAAGGCAGCUCUGGUCCACCUGGAUGAUGAAGUGUUUGCAAGAGGACUGAAUGCUCUCGUGCAGCUGAGUGUCGUCGUUGGUCCUUCUCUAAAUGACCAUCUGAAACAUCUGCUUACAAGUCUUUCCAAGAGACUGAGAGAUAAGAAAUUCAAAGAGCCAAUUACCAGUGCAUUACAGAAGCUGGAGCAGCAUGGUGGAAAUUCAUAGGCAUGUCUGUCUUUGAAAACGUGCAUACCUGGACACACCUCCAUCUUGAUUGAGCACGUGGGAAGUUUUUGCAUGUCAGGGACUCAGGAAGCCUUAUCGUCAUCAAAUCUAAAAUUCCAACAUAUUGCUCCAUAUGCUGUUGAAGAAGGGAGCCCACAAAAAUCUUGUUACUCCUGGUGACAGGUGUUAAAUGCUGACCAUGGGUACCUAGGGAACCUUUUCAGAUUCACUUCCUUUUAUUCUUUUGUCAAUCACAGCCACCAUUCAUUAUUUCCUGGAUUAAGAUGAGUAUACACAGUUCCACUGAAUCAUAGUAAAAGUUAUUCAUCAACAACAAAAAAAAGAGCGGUCAAUGAUGGAAAGCUAUUAAAAACAGUUCUAUAAUAGUACAGUUUUGUGGGAUUGGUUUUUCAUAUUUUUACAGUUUGGUGCAAACAACCAUUAUUGGGUUUAUAGUAGAUGUAUUUGUAUUUAUUUUCUAGUGCCUUUUUGGGUGUAUAGUAGAUGUAUUUGUAUUUAUUUUCUAGUGCCUUUUAUAAUUAUAUCCCUUUCACAAUCAGUUUGUAGUUGCGCAUUUAUUUUUAGACGUUUUGUCAUUUCUUGGGUUUGAUAUUUAUCAAGGCUAUGGAAAUUUAAAGUAGUGGACAAACAUUUGUGAAUUCACUGUUAAUUAUUAUCUGUAAAUAUGUAUUUUAUGAUAUAGAGUACUUGGAAAAAUUUCAUACCAGAGUAUCCUAGUUUAAGAUAUUUUUUUAAAUGUGUAAAUUCUCUUGUAAGUAUGUUAUUUAUUACAACUCAUUAAAACUACCUAAAUUUAGGUGUUAAUUAUAUUUAAGUAAAUGUUAUUUUUGUAUCCCAUAGUCUGAAAAUACUGAAGAUACUCAUUUCAUGAAGAUAUUCAGAAAUUAAAAUCUUAAAACUCUUAAAUGUACCCAGUGAUUUUGUUGUGGUGUUUGCUUGUGUUUAACAGUUAAUUUAAUUUAAAAAGCUUU
Molecule: RNA transcript, 1848 nt
Organism: Ailuropoda melanoleuca (giant panda)
Lineage: Eukaryota; Metazoa; Chordata; Mammalia; Carnivora; Ursidae
Gene: PACRGL
Gene name: parkin coregulated like
Exons: 10
Source: RefSeq, a predicted model, not a curated record